AUUUAUGGUGGGGCGUGCAGGGCAACCGAAAGGUUGGCCGGGUCUUUACAGCCGGUAGUGCAAACCCUGUACGUCUCACCACCCUA
Molecule: non-coding RNA, 86 nt
Filed under: Citrobacter koseri
Lineage: Bacteria; Pseudomonadati; Pseudomonadota; Gammaproteobacteria; Enterobacterales; Enterobacteriaceae
Source: RNAcentral